CAGUAAUAAUAACGAGAGGGAUUAUUUUUUCUUUUUUGUGCACAGAAAAAAACCAGGUCUCAAGAAAACGAACGUGAGACAUCAAAAAGCAGAGUUUGAGAGCAAAAAGAACAGAAACCAAAGAGCGUCGAGAGAAGAAGAAGGGUCACAAUGGGAAUUCUGUGAUAAAGGCUGCUCUUCCUUAUUGGGUUUAUCAGUUUUAUAUCGUCUGGUUUCGACAAAUUUGCGGUUUAUGGAAUCAGCCAGUUGAUUCGAGUGCGGGAAUUUUGGAUUCUGGGAAAUUUGGAUUUAAUUGUAAUUUGGGAUCGGUUUCAGUCGAAGCACAAGAGAUGGCAAAGUGCCAGUCAUCACUGUAGGGAGUUAAAGACGAUAUCAAGUUCUCGGAACUAGACUACUGGAUUGCAGUGAACCUUGUGAUAGUGGCAAAUGAGUGUUUCAUAAUGAGCAUGCUCGGGUGGGAAAGUUGUCGAUGGGCACCCCUGACAACAAACUAUCCGAGCUUGUUGACAUAGUGAAAUCCUGGAUCCCUCGGAAAACUGAGCCAGCAAAUUUGUCAAGGGAUUUCUGGAUGCCCGAUCAGAGCUGUCGGGUAUGUUACGAGUGUGACUCCCAGUUUACAGUUUUUAACCGCAGGCAUCAUUGUCGACUUUGUGGCCGAGUUUUUUGUUCCAAGUGUACUGCAAACACCAUUCCGGCACCAUCUGAUGAACCAAGUACUAGCCGGGAAGAGUGGGAGAGGAUCAGGGUAUGUAAUUAUUGUUUCAAGCAAUGGGAGCAGGGGAUAGCACCUGUUGAUAAUGGGACGAGUGUGCCCAGUUCUGGUCUCAGUCCAUCACCAUCUG
Carica papaya (papaya) is the source of this 842-nucleotide non-coding RNA. The record is from RefSeq and is a predicted model, not a curated record. NCBI's taxonomy places the organism in Eukaryota, Viridiplantae, Streptophyta, Magnoliopsida, Brassicales, Caricaceae.